CCUACGGGAGGUAGCAGUGGGGAAUAUUGGGCAAUGGGGGCAACCCUGACCCAGCCAUGCCGCGUGAGUGAAGAAGGUCUUCGGAUUGUAAAGCUCUUUCGGACGUGACGAUGAUGACGGUAUCGUCUAAAGAAGCAUCGGCUAACUCCGUGCCAGCAGCCGCGGUAAUACGGAGGAUGCGAGCGUUAUCCGGAUUUAUUGGGUUUAAAGGGUGCGUAGGCGGAUCGUUAAGUCAGUGGUCAAAUUGAGGGGCUCACCCCCUUCCCGCCAUUGAAACUGGCGCUCUUGAGUGGAAGAGAAGUAUGCGGAAUGCGUGGUGUAGCGGUGAAAUGCAUAGAUAUCACGAAGAACCCCGAUGGCGAAGGCAGCAUGCCGGCUUCCGACUGACGCUGAAGCACGAAAGCGUGGGGAUCGAACAGGAUUAGAUACCCCAGUAGUC
This 439-nucleotide ribosomal RNA is filed under the name uncultured bacterium. RNAcentral's name for it is "partial 16S ribosomal RNA". It matches the Rfam family "Bacterial small subunit ribosomal RNA", at positions 338 to 795 of the family's 1533-position model. The record is from RNAcentral.